UGUGAGUCUUGCUGUUUCUAGGGCACAUGAAAAAAUGGAAACAAUUUUUGAAUUGUUUAUUUUCAUACACUGUUAUUCUGAAUAACUUCAAUUGCAAACUGUAAAAUCUCUUCCAUUGGUUUUUCAGUAAAUUUUCCAAAUUUUAUGGAUGAUUGGUCAAAUUAGCAAGAAAGUGAUUAGGUUUUUGUUUGUUUUCAUAAAACUUUGUUAAUGAGAAGACUUGGGAUUGGGAUUGAUGGGGAGGAAUGGAAAAGAUGGAUUAUGCACAUGGACUUUCAGUCAGCUAAAGGUGCAGGAUUAUUGCCACAAUUGUAGGUUUCUUUUUCCUAUGUUGUUCUUUAAAAAUAAUAAGACAAGAAAUUAGUCAAUCAUUAAUCUUGUACGAGUAAUUGAAUAAGAAGAUGAACCAUGGAGUUAAACAUUGAGGCAUUUGUUAACAUGCGUUGUAUGUUUAUCAUCAAACAUUUGACAAGAUAUCAUGAAGCUAAAUUCUUAUGCUGACAGAUCUACUUUGUUUCUGUUUAUGCAAGUCUG
This 534-nucleotide unclassified non-coding RNA is filed under the name Hevea brasiliensis (rubber tree). Lineage: Eukaryota; Viridiplantae; Streptophyta; Magnoliopsida; Malpighiales; Euphorbiaceae. The record is from RNAcentral.